RNAcentral lists this ribosomal RNA (1830 nucleotides) under human gut metagenome. RNAcentral's name for it is "bacterial LSU rRNA". It matches the Rfam family "Bacterial large subunit ribosomal RNA", at positions 984 to 2841 of the family's 2925-position model. The record is from RNAcentral.
UCAGACUGCACGAGAUAAGUGGGGUAGUCAAAAGGGAAAGAGCCCAGACCUAAAGCUAAGGUCCCAAAAGUGUGUGUUAAGUGGAAAAGGAUGUGGGAUUUCGAAGACAACUAGGAUGUUGGCUUAGAAGCAGCCACACAUUCAAAGAGUGCGUAAUAGCUCACUAGUCGAGAGGUCAUGCGCCGAAAAUGUCCGGGGCUAAAACACAACACCGAAGCUUAGGAAUCCUAAGGGAUUGGUAGAGGAGCAUUCUAUACGGGAGGAAGCAGUACCGAUAAGGAGCUGUGGACAGUAUAGAAGAGAGAAUGCCGGAAUGAGUAGCGAGAUGGAGGUGGGAAUCCUCCAGGCCGAAUAUCUAAGGUUUCCAGAGUAAAGCUGAUCUGCUCUGGGUAAGUCGGGGCCUAAGGCGAGGUCGAAAGACGUAGUCGAUGGACAACAGGUUGAAAUUCCUGUACCACAUAUCAUCAGAACUGUGGGGACACAGAACCGGAGGAAAACCCGGGAAUGAAAAGACCGGGGCAAGCAGAGGACUGGUCAGGCUGGCAAAUCCGCCUGGCAACAGGAGACUGUGACGCGUACCGAACAGAAGUAGGGAAGUUUCCGUAGGGGCUGUCGAGAAAAGCCGCUAUUGUGUGAUAUGUGCCCGUACCGUAAACCGACACAGGUGGAUGAGGAGAGAAUCCUAAGGCCGGCGGGAGAAGCAUUGUUAAGGAACUCGGCAAAAUGACCCUGUAACUUCGGGAUAAAGGGUGCCACAGAGAUGUGGCCGCAGAGAAUAGGCUCAAGCAACUGUUUAGCAAAAACACAGGUCUAUGCGAAACCGAAAGGUGAGGUAUAUGGGCUGACGCCUGCCCGGUGCUGGAAGGUUACGAGGAGAGGUUAGAGCAAUCGAAGCUUUGAAUCUAAGCCCCAGUAAACGGCGGCCGUAACUAUAACGGUCCUAAGGUAGCGAAAUUCCUUGUCGGGUAAGUUCCGACCCGCACGAAAGGCGUAAUGAUUUGAGCGCUGUCUCGACAAUGCACCCGGUGAAAUUGAAAUACCAGUGAAGAUGCUGGUUACCUGCGCCAGGACGGAAAGACCCCAUGGAGCUUUACUCUAGCUUGAUACUGGGAUUCGGUACUGCAUGUACAGGAUAGGUGGGAGACUUUGAUGACAGGACGCCAGUCUUGUCGGAGUCGCUGUUGGGAUACCACCCUUGUGGUACUGGAUUUCUAACCAACCUCCGUGACCCGGAGGUGGGACAAUGUCAGGUGGGGAGUUUGACUGGGGCGGUCGCCUCCGAAAGGGUAUCGGAGGCGCUCAAAGGUUCCCUCAGAAUGGUUGGAAACCAUUCAAAGAGUGCAAAGGCAGAAGGGAGCUUGACUGCGAGACCGACGGGUCGAGCAGGUACGAAAGUAGGACUUAGUGAUCCGGUGGUAGAAAGUGGGAUUGCCAUCGCUCAACGGAUAAAAGCUACCCUGGGGAUAACAGGCUUAUCACUCCCAAGAGUUCACAUCGACGGAGUGGUUUGGCACCUCGAUGUCGGCUCAUCGCAUCCUGGGGCUGAAGUAGGUCCCAAGGGUUGGGCUGUUCGCCCAUUAAAGCGGUACGCGAGCUGGGUUCAGAACGUCGUGAGACAGUUCGGUCCCUAUCCGGCGCGGGCGUAGGAUAUUUGAGAGGAGCUGCCCUUAGUACGAGAGGACCGGGGUGGACUGGCCUCUGGUGUAUCUGUUGAGCCAUCAGGCUCAUGGCAGAGUAGCCAAGCCGGGACGGGAUAAACGCUGAAGGCAUCUAAGCGUGAAGCCCCCCUCAAGAUGAGAUAUCCCAUACGCAAGUAGUAAGACCCCUUGA